GGAUUGCAGGCUGCAACUCGCCUGCAUGAAGCCGGAAUCGCUAGUAAUCGCGGAUCAGCACGCCGCGGUGAAUACGUUCCCGGGCCUUGUACACACCGCCCGUCACACCACGAGAGUUUGUAACACCCGAAGUCGGUGAGGUAACCUUUUGGAGCCAGCCGCCUAAGGUGGGAUAGAUGAUUGGGGUGAAGUCGUAACAAGGUAGCCGUAUCGGAAGGUGCGGCUGGAUCACCUCCUUU
This 239-nucleotide ribosomal RNA is filed under the name Enterococcus faecium. Its description in RNAcentral is "partial 16S ribosomal RNA". It matches the Rfam family "Bacterial small subunit ribosomal RNA", at positions 1295 to 1533 of the family's 1533-position model. Lineage: Bacteria; Bacillati; Bacillota; Bacilli; Lactobacillales; Enterococcaceae. The record is from RNAcentral.